GCUCGUAGUUGGAUUUUGGGCGCAGGCGGCCGGUCCGUCGCAAGGCGUGUACUGGCCGUCCUGGCCUCACCUCCGGUUCUCCGCCGGUGCCCUUGACUGAGUGUCGGCGGCGGCCGGAACGUUUACUUUGAAAAAAUUAGAGUGUUCAAAGCAGGCGAUUCGCCUGAAUAAUGGUGCAUGGAAUAAUGGAAUAGGACCUCGGUUCUAUUUUGUUGGUUUUCGGAGCGCGAGGUAAUGAUUAAGAGGGACAGACGGGGGCAUUCGUACUGUGCCGUUAGAGGUGAAAUUCUUGGAUCGGCGCAAGACGAACGACUGCGAAAGCAUUUGCCAAGAAUGUUUUCUUUAAUCAAGAGCGAAAGUCAGAGGUUCGAAGACGAUCAGAUACCGUCCUAGUUCUGACUAUAAACGAUGCCAACUAGCGAUCGGGGGGCGUUAGUUUUACGACCUCUCCGGCAGCUUGCGGGAAACCAAAGUCUUUGGGUUCCGGGGGAAGUAUGGUUGCAAAGCUGAAACUUAAAGGAAUUGACGGAAGGGCACCACCAGGAGUGGAGCCUGCGGCUUAAUUUGACUCAACACGGGAAAUCUCACCCGGCCCGGACACAGUGAGGAUUGACAGAUUGAGAGCUCUUUCUUGAUUCUGUGGGUGGUGGUGCAUGGCCGUUCUUAGUUGGUGGAGCGAUUUGUCUGGUUAAUUCCGAUAACGAACGAGACUCUGGCUUGCUAACUAGUUACGCGACCCAAUCGGUCGGCGUCUAACUUCUUAGAGGGACUAGUGGCGUUUAGCCACACGAGAUUGAGCAAUAACAGGUCUGUGAUGCCCUUAGAUGUUCGGGGCCGCACGCGCGCUACACUGACCGGAUCAGCAUGUGCUCGCCUUGGCCGACAGGUCUGGGUAACCCGCUGAACCCCGGUCGUGCUAGGGAUAGGGAAUUGCAAUUAUUCC
Molecule: ribosomal RNA, 943 nt
Filed under: Ascidiella aspersa
Lineage: Eukaryota; Metazoa; Chordata; Ascidiacea; Phlebobranchia; Ascidiidae
Description: SSU rRNA
Rfam family: Eukaryotic small subunit ribosomal RNA
Source: RNAcentral